Panicum virgatum (switchgrass) is the source of this 484-nucleotide long non-coding RNA. RefSeq lists it as uncharacterized. The transcript is spliced from 2 exons. Lineage: Eukaryota; Viridiplantae; Streptophyta; Magnoliopsida; Poales; Poaceae. The record is from RefSeq and is a predicted model, not a curated record.
CUCCGAGAUAGUACUAGGUCACAAUGUCUUCUAAUACACCGCAAUAGGUGGCUGCCCAUGCAAACAAUUUGACAGCAAGUAAAAAUCGGUGUAACAAACUAAUUAUUAUGCUUCAGCCGGCUCCACCCCACCAAAUCUCGCCGAUGGGAACCUUAACCUUGCCACCCAUGAAUCCAUGGAGGCCCAACUGCCCAAGGGGAUCGAAACAAGCUACAACAAUUCGGCAUCUGAGAGGGAAACAAAAAGUUACUGCUGCUCGAUUUGGAUGGAGAGAGACCACCUAUUGCCCUUGUGCUCUGUGGACAGGGGAAGGGAGAUGGUGUAGGCAACGGCAAGGUUACCUACUGAUGUUAGCCUGCAAGUGGGAGAUCUACAUAAGCUUCCUGUUGCUGCAUUUGCUUACUGCUCUUUAUGCUGGAUGUAAUACUGCUCACAAAGUGACUAUUGUGAUUCCAUAAUACUAUAUAAUAUUUUACACAGUCAA